GCCGGGCAUGAUAGUGCAUGCCUGUAGUCCCAGCUACUCUGGAGGCUGAGGCAGGACGAUCACUUGACCCCAGGAAUUCUGGGCUGUAGUGCAUUAUGCCAAUUGGGUGUACACGCUAAGUUUGGCAUCAAUAUGGUGACCUCUUGAGAGCAGGGGACCACCAGGUUGCCUAGGGAGCGGGAACAAGCCCAGGCUGGAAACGGAGCAAGUCAGAACUCCCGUGCUGAUCAGCAGUGGGAUUGCACCUACUCUGGGUACCUUGCCCAGGCUGGAUCGACUACUCUUACUGUGUUGCCCAGGCUGGAGUGCAGUGGGAUUCAGGCUUC
Molecule: unclassified non-coding RNA, 326 nt
Organism: Cercocebus atys (sooty mangabey)
Lineage: Eukaryota; Metazoa; Chordata; Mammalia; Primates; Cercopithecidae
Rfam family: Metazoan signal recognition particle RNA
About the family: The signal recognition particle (SRP) is a universally conserved ribonucleoprotein. It is involved in the co-translational targeting of proteins to membranes.
Source: Ensembl